AUUGAACGCUGGCGGCAUGCCUUACACAUGCAAGUCGAACGGCAGCACGGGAGCAAUCCUGGUGGCGAGUGGCGAACGGGUGAGUAAUGUAUCGGAACGUGCCUUGUCGUGGGGGAUAACGUAGCGAAAGCUACGCUAAUACCGCAUACCAUCUAAGGAUGAAAGCGGGGGAUCGCAAGACCUCGCGCUAUUGGAGCGGCCGAUGUCAGAUUAGGUUGUUGGUGGGGUAAAGGCCUACCAAGCCUGCGAUCUGUAGCUGGUCUGAGAGGACGACCAGCCACACUGGGACUGAGACACGGCCCAGACUCCUACGGGAGGCAGCAGUGGGGAAUUUUGGACAAUGGGCGCAAGCCUGAUCCAGCCAUGCCGCGUGC
Molecule: ribosomal RNA, 374 nt
Filed under: uncultured bacterium
Lineage: Bacteria
Description: bacterial SSU rRNA
Rfam family: Bacterial small subunit ribosomal RNA
Source: RNAcentral